Molecule: ribosomal RNA, 474 nt
Filed under: uncultured organism
Description: partial 16S ribosomal RNA
Rfam family: Bacterial small subunit ribosomal RNA
Source: RNAcentral
ACUCCUACGGGAGGCAGCAGUGGGGAAUAUUGCACAAUGGGCGCAAGCCUGAUGCAGCCAUGCCGCGUGUAUGAAGAAGGCCUUCGGGUUGUAAAGUACUUUCAGCGGGGAGGAAGGCGAUAAGGUUAAUAACCUUGUCGAUUGACGUUACCCGCAGAAGAAGCACCGGCUAACUCCGUGCCAGCAGCCGCGGUAAUACGGAGGGUGCAAGCGUUAAUCGGAAUUACUGGGCGUAAAGCGCACGCAGGCGGUCUGUCAAGUCGGAUGUGAAAUCCCCGGGCUCAACCUGGGAACUGCAUUCGAAACUGGCAGGCUAGAGUCUUGUAGAGGGGGGUAGAAUUCCAGGUGUAGCGGUGAAAUGCGUAGAGAUCUGGAGGAAUACCGGUGGCGAAGGCGGCCCCCUGGACAAAGACUGACGCUCAGGUGCGAAAGCGUGGGGAGCAAACAGGAUUAGAUACCCCAGUAGUCCCAUGA